GUGCCCACUUUGGCAGCACAUAUAGUAAAAUUGGAAAGAUGCAGAAAACAUUUGCUUGGUCCCCAUGCAAAGAUAAUACACAAAGAAACUUUUCAUAGUUUC
RNAcentral lists this small nuclear RNA (102 nucleotides) under Notamacropus eugenii (tammar wallaby). The record is from RNAcentral. Lineage: Eukaryota; Metazoa; Chordata; Mammalia; Diprotodontia; Macropodidae.